This 839-nucleotide ribosomal RNA is filed under the name uncultured bacterium. RNAcentral describes it as "bacterial SSU rRNA". It matches the Rfam family "Bacterial small subunit ribosomal RNA", at positions 603 to 1435 of the family's 1533-position model. The record is from RNAcentral.
UCUGGNUUAACUGGGGGCUUGCGGUGGGUACGGGCCGGCUUGAGUGCGGUAGGGGAGACCGGAACUCCUGGUGUAGCGGUGGAAUGCGCAGAUNUCAGGAAGAACACCGGUGGCGACGGCGGGUCUCUGGCCGUUACUGACGCUGAGGAGCGAAAGCGUGGGGAGCGAACAGGAUUAGAUACCCUGGUAGUCCACGCCGUAAACGUUGGGCACUAGGUGUGGGGGGCCUUUUCCGGNUCUUCCGCGCCGUAGCUAACGCAUUAAGUGCCCCGCCUGGGGAGUACGGCCGCAAGGCUAAAACUCAAAGGAAUUGACGGGGGCCCGCACAAGCGGCGGAGCAUGCGGAUUAAUUCGAUGCAACGCGAAGAACCUUACCAAGGCUUGACAUGUGCCGGUCGGCUCCGGAGACGGGGUUUCCUCCUUGUGGGGCCGGUUCACAGGUGGUGCAUGGUUGUCGUCAGCUCGUGUCGUGAGAUGUUGGGUUAAGUCCCGCAACGAGCGCAACCCUUGUCCCGUGUUGCCAGCACGUUGUGGUGGGGACUCGCGGGAGACUGCCGGGGUCAACUCGGAGGAAGGUGGGGAUGACGUCAAAUCAUCAUGCCCCUUAUGUCUUGGGCUUCACGCAUGCUACAAUGGCCGGUACAGAGGGCUGCGAUACCGUGAGGUGGAGCGAAUCCCUUAAAGCCGGUCUCAGUUCGGAUCGGUGUCUGCAACUCGACACCGUGAAGUUGGUGUCGCUAGUAAUCGCAGAUCAGCAACGCUGCGGUGAAUACGUUCUCGGGCCUUGUACACACCGCCCGUCACGUCAUGAAAGUCGGCAACACCCGAAGCCCAUGGCC